Molecule: ribosomal RNA, 1524 nt
Filed under: Candidatus Riesia sp.
Lineage: Bacteria; Pseudomonadati; Pseudomonadota; Gammaproteobacteria; Enterobacterales; Enterobacteriaceae
Description: 16S ribosomal RNA
Rfam family: Bacterial small subunit ribosomal RNA
Source: RNAcentral
UAUAUAUUGAGUGUGAUCUUGGCUUGGAGUUAAUGCUAGCUAAGUGUCUAAUACAUGCAAGUUAAUGUGUUUAAAAUUAGUAAAUUUUAAAAUAAAUAGCGUCAUGGUGAGUAUUGUUAUUAUAAUAAUAGUAAUAAAGUUAAAAACUUUAAGGUUACAAUUAAACAUUACUAGGUUAUAAUACGAGGGAUUAGGUAAUUAAGACAUUAAGCCUAUAAUCUCUAGUUGAUUUGAGAGAAGGAUCAACCACACGGGAUAUGAAAACUAUCCCGCCUUAUGGCAGCAGUAAAGAAUAUUAGGCAAUGUACAAACGUAUGACCUAUCAAUUUGGCGGAGAUGAAGAAGGUAAUUAGUACUGUAAAAUCUAUACGUAUAUGAGCAUUAUAAGGGUAAAUAUAAAAAGAAGUCGUGGCUAAUACAGGUGCCAGCAGCCGCGGUAAUACCUGAGCGACAAGCAUUAUUCGGCAUAGUUGGGUGUAAAGAAUAUGUAGGUGGAAUUCAUAGAGUAUAUACUAAAUCCAAAAAAGGUGGAAUAUACUUUUAUAUAAAUAAAAAUUCUUGAGUUAAUAUAAAGUUGAGGGGUGGUCUUAAGGAACGAUAAAAUGUAUUUAACUUAAGAAUGCUCGCUAGUUAACUAAUGUGCUUAACUUAUAUUAUCUGACACUGAGAUAUGAAAGUAGGGGGUGUGAUUAGGAUUAGAGACCCUAGUAAUCCUUACUGUAAAAAUUGGUUAUUAAUGUUUACGCAAAAUAACCCACCAGGUGAGUAUAGUUGCAAAACUCAAAGUCAACAGAAUUGGCGGGGAUUAGAACGAAUGGUGGAACAUGUGGUUUAAUGCGAUAAUCCACGUAGAAUCUUACCAAUUUGAAAUAAAAUUUAUAAAAUAAAUAAAUAAAUUUUUACGAGUAUUGCAUGGCUGUCGUCAGUUCGUGUUUUGCGAUCUAAGAUUAAGUUCUAUAAACGAACGCAACCUAUAAAAUUAAUAUGUGUUGGUUACUUUUAUUUAAGAAUAUAAAAUAUUGAAAAAUAUUGAUAAUAAAAAAAUACUAGAAUUGAUACAAAUUAGCUGAAGUCAAGUCCUCAUGGUCUUAGUAAAUUGGGCAACACACGUGUUACAAAGAUAAAAACAAUGAUUAACAAAGGAGCAAUCUGACGUGAUAUCGAAAAAUUAUCUUAGUACGGAAUUACUUCUGAAACUUGAAGUAGUAAAGUUGAAAUCAUUAGUAGUUGUAAAUGAGUAUGUUACAAUGAAUUAAUAAACUAGUCCUGCACACACCGCCCAUCACAUUCGGAUAGUUGAUAGUUUAGUAAAGUCGUACCUAAUUUGUUUUUUUUAAUCAACUGAGUUGAGAUAUUUAUAUCAGAUAAAAUAAAUGAUUUUUACCGAAUUAAAAAUUUUUUUAUACAUAUAAAAAAAUUGAUAGAUUCACAAAAAAAACAAAACUUCUGACUAGGUUAUUGGUGAUUUGAAUUAAGUUGACACAAGGUACCCGUAGAAGAAUCUGUGGGUGGAAUAAAUAAUUU